This is a long non-coding RNA of Cucurbita moschata (crookneck pumpkin), 1851 nucleotides long. RefSeq lists it as uncharacterized. The transcript is spliced from 3 exons. The record is from RefSeq and is a predicted model, not a curated record. Lineage: Eukaryota; Viridiplantae; Streptophyta; Magnoliopsida; Cucurbitales; Cucurbitaceae.
UAGCCUUAGAUCUAUCUCUUCUGGGCUUUUUCCUUUCUUUCCAUUGACAGUUUCAAACUCACCCAUUUCUCUCAUUAGGCUGCUGGAAGUGGUCGACAACAACCACAACAACGGCGGUAGAGGCGGCGGCGAGGAUCAUGAUCGGAACGCAGAUGAUUGGGAUUGGACGGCCCUACUAUCGCAAUCGUACAACUAGAAUGAACUGGAUGAGAUGCAGAGGAGCUGGCUUCUCGGUCUGGUGGAGGGAAAGAAAAACAGAUACGUUGACCUAGGUUGUGUAAUCAUGUCGAAGAAGGCUUUGAAAUAGGAAUACCGGUGGAAUCAAGAUGUGCCCAUCCUAUUUUUUUUCGAACGACGCAUGAAAGUUAGAGAGAUGAAGAUGAGCAGAGCAAUAGUGACUUGAAGGAAGAGGCUUUCGAGAUGUCGUACCACGAGCCUCCAAAGAUUUAGGUAAGCAGUACUCCAAAGAUUUAGGUAAGCUCAAUUGGAAUGGGUUGCUAUAUUUACAGUCACUUCACUACAACAAAUUAGUCACUUCACUACAACAAAUUACCCUUUCUAUAGCUUUUGAAGAUAGCAUUUACUAAAACAUGCUAUAAAAAAUUGAUAAAAAAAGGCGGACACAAAAUAAAUAAAAAAAAAAGCUAGAUAUAUUUUUUAAAAUAAAGAGCUCUUUAUUUACUCUCUCUCUUCCUCCCUUCGUUUUGCCCUAAUUUACAGGCGGAGGCUAGAUUUUUUUUUCUCUCCAUUUCCUCUCUUCCCCUUGUGCUCCAUUUUGCCAUAAUCUACAGAUUUGGAGUUAUAACCCAUGUAUUUCAUCUGUUUCUUCCUUUUGUAUUCCAUUUUUGUCUCGGAUGGCAACUUCGUCUUUUCUCUAUCCUCAUGCCAAUGUCUGCUGAUCUGGGCCAAAUGAAAAAGCUCUUAAUCGAGGCAUUUUGGGGCAUUUGGAGAGCAAUUUGUAUGUAUGAUUAGAAUGAUUAAUUGGAGUUUAAAUAUGCUUAAUCUAGACAAACACAUUGAACUAAACUCGAAAUGCAUGCAUGAUUAAAGCUAUAACACUGAGGAGUGGAAGCACAUGGUGCCCCCCUAGAAAGCAUGUUGUCGGUGAUUAGUAUCUGAAUGAAACUACACCUAUUCAUGAGGCUACAAAGCCUUCUAUUUCCUUUCUUCCUUUUCUCCUUCUCAUAGUUGUUACCUCACUCUUUUAGUAAAGAGGCCGUUUGUGUAGGGGGAUUAUAUAUGCAUUGUAACUUGCUACUGUAAAGGUGGAGACAUGUAAGUGAUGUUUAUUUAAAUUUUCAAUCCUUUUGGAGUUUGCUUCAUUUAUGACCUUUAAUGGUUGUUUAUUUUUAGAUUGAAUAAAAAAAAUAAGCAACCUUUAUAACAAUGUCUUUCAAUUUUCCCUCUAAAGAAUUAUAACUAAGUGAAGAACAAAAGUUCGAACAUUUUGUGGAAGUUCAAUAUCACUGCAACAAAUACCAUCUUUUAUAGCUUUUUUGUAUAGCAUUUUAUUUUAUUUUUUUAAUGUUAUCCCUAAAAACCUAAUCACGCGUAUAAAAGCCUUCCUUUCUUUCUCUCUUUUCCCUCUAGACACCCAUAUUCUCUCAGACCCUAGGGCAAAACCAAAUCUCGCCUUCUUUCUCUCGCGCAACAAUCCAUCCUUCCUUCUUUCGUGCUUCAAAAUUUUUCCCUCAAGAUCCAUCCUUCUUUCUUUCGUGCUUCAAAAUUUUUCUCUGAUUUGCAUCAAAUCUCAAGAUGGUGGCAUUGAGAGGAGGCAUACAGUUUAUUGUUGAUGCUUUGUCUAUGAAAAACCCUAUUCUCCUACCUCACUGCAGAUUGAACAAUCCAAGA